GACGAACGCUGGCGGCGUGCUUAACACAUGCAAGUCGUACGGUAAGGCCCUUUCGGGGGUACACGAGUGGCGAACGGGUGAGUAACACGUGAGUAACCUGCCCACAACUUUGGGAUAACGCUAGGAAACUGGUGCUAAUACUGGAUAUGUGCUCCUGCUGCAUGGUGGGGGUUGGAAAGCUCCGGCGGUUGUGGAUGGACCCGCGGCCUAUCAGCUUGUUGGUGGGGUAGUGGCCUACCAAGGCGGCGACGGGUAGCCGGCCUGAGAGGGUGACCGGCCACAUUGGGACUGAGAUACGGCCCAGACUCCUACGGGAGGCAGCAGUGGGGAAUAUUGCACAAUGGGCGCAAGCCUGAUGCAGCAACGCCGCGUGCGGGAUGACGGCCUUCGGGUUGUAAACCGCUUUCAGCAGGGACGAAGCUUUUUGUGACGGUACCUGCAGAAGAAGCACCGGCUAACUACGUG
This 465-nucleotide ribosomal RNA is filed under the name uncultured bacterium. Its description in RNAcentral is "partial 16S ribosomal RNA". It matches the Rfam family "Bacterial small subunit ribosomal RNA", at positions 28 to 507 of the family's 1533-position model. The record is from RNAcentral.